UCAAUUCUAACAUAUACAAGGAAUUUCUCCUGUAAACAAAACUAUAUUGUCUAGAUUCAUUUUUUCACAUAAUUGUCAGAUUCACCGAAGUUGAAAUGAAGGAAAAAAUGUUAAGGGCAGCCAGAGAGAAAGGUCGGGUUACCCACAAAGGGAAGCCCAUCAGACUAACAGCGGAUCUCUCGCCAGAAACUCUACAAGCAGGCUUUUGGGGCAGCAGGAUGGAUUUUGGGCAAGCUCCUCUCCCCUCAAGCACUACCUUUUCUCUCCUAGUCAGCCUACUGUUAUUAACUACUUCCAAGCUGCUCUCCGUUAAGGCUGUACCAUUCAUAGUACUGCCAGCAAUAUAUGAGAAUACCUGUCAUUCCACACUGAGGAAUACUACUGAUACAAAUUUUUUUAUGCUUGUCUAUCUAACACAUGUAAAUUGUGGUUCUAGUUUCUAGUUUUCUUACCAUGAACAAGAAGCUUCUUUUCAUAAGUUUAAAGAACGCUUUUAGCUUCUUAUCUGUGGUGUAGCUUGGUAAAGAGGCUGACUGAUAUCCACAGAAUGGGUCAUCCUAUACACCCGAUUAUGAAACAUCCUCUGCUAAGGUUACCCUUUGGUAAGUAUUCACAUAGGGCACAAAUAUCUUUAUAUUUUUUACCUGUUCAGCGAGGUCCAUAUCUCUUCCCUAGAAUUCCUUGUCACCAGUUUUUAAAUAAUGUUCCUUCCAAGUUCCUGACCAUCCAGCCAGACCAUUGGCUACAGUGCAUGAGUUGGUAUAUAAUGUCACAUCUGGCUAUUUCUCCUUCUAGGAAAAAUGAACAACCAGGUGCGGUGCUCAGAGUUCCAAUCACUGGGAGGAUUUCCCUUCACCACUGUUCUUUGGGGAUGUCCCAGAACAGGACUGUAGCGCUGUCCAGGUGGUAUCUGUCUAUCAUGCAGAACCAUCUGUAAACCAGGCCUGAGUCUUCUCUACCUCUAUCAACUGAUCAUAGGGAACUCCCCAUGAGGCAAUAUAGUGAGACCCUGUCUCUUAAAAAUGUUAUGCUACCAAUGUUAUGCUACCAAUAAAAAUCAUAUUACAGUUACAAUAACUAUUUCCAGAUAAUAAACCAACCCAAAAUUUAGUAGAUUAAAACAACAAUCAUGGUUGGGCUUGCAAAUCCACAAUCUGAGCAGAGCUCAGUAGGGAUCGCUCAGCUCUGUUCCAUGUGGUAUCAGCUGAAAUGGUCUGAUUGGGAACUACAUGACCCACUUUCAAGAUAGUUCCCUCACAUGGUUUGCAAGCUGUUGCUGACUGUUGUUUGGGGAGGCUUGGUUCCUUUCCUCAUGAGCUCUCCCAUGGAGAGCUUGUUAGGCUUAAGUUUUUGACUAUUUAAUUUAAUUGGGAGCCUCUACUUAUUUUCUUAGUUUUGAGAUGACUGAUUAACAGGAGUUUCCCACCUACACAAGAAGAUGUGUCUGCAGAAAAUGAAUUGUUUAAGAACAUAUGGGCACUCCGCUUCAGUCACACUAAAUUCCUCUUUGACCCAUGUCCCAGGCUUCGUUCUUAUUGCCCAGGCUAGAGUGCAAUGGCGUGAUCUCGGCUCACCACAACCUCUGCCUCCCAGCUUCAAGCAAUUCUCCUGCCUCAGCCUCCCGAGUAGCUGUGAUUACAGGCAUGUGCCAACACGCCUGGCUAGUUUUGUAUUUUUAGUAGAGAUGUGUUUUUUCCAUGUUGGUCAGGCUGGUCUCAAACUCCCGACCUCAGGUGAUCCACCUGCUUCGGCCUCCCAAAGUGCUGGGAUUACAGGCAUGAGCCACCGCACCUGGCCUUUUUA
RNAcentral lists this long non-coding RNA (1803 nucleotides) under Homo sapiens (human). RNAcentral's name for it is "non-protein coding LINC01534:10". The record is from RNAcentral. Lineage: Eukaryota; Metazoa; Chordata; Mammalia; Primates; Hominidae.